UAUCUUUGCUCCCUGACCCCAGCAAGAAUGAAGGAAAGUCUGAGUAUCUGAACCCAAGAACUCAGUCUGGUAACUGCUCUAGGGCUAGAGGGGCUCUCUCCCUGGCAACCUGUAUGAAAGUAGUUUCUACUAGUUCUUCACAGGUGUGAGAACAAGAAAGUAAUCUUCCUAUAUAGGAAACUACCCAAAUUCUGUAUUAGCAGUCUGUCUGCAUCCACUGCUAUCUCUAGGGUAGACCUGCAGAUAAGUGGAAGGAAUAGAAGGGCCCUGACAUCUGAUCUCACUAGUACUUUUCAGACAUUUAACCCAACUUGGCAAUAUUAAACCAACUGAACACUGCUGAAGAAAGCCACAUCCUUUCUUCCCAUUUCGACUGGAACAUCCUUGAACUUCAAACAAUCCCUAGGAAAGUCUGAGUGGUCAGACAGCUAAGCUUCUCACAACCUGAGGUGAUGAAAGAAACCACAGCAUGGAGCUCUGGAACUUCACCUUGGGAAGUGGCUUCAUCUUGGUGGGGAUUCUGAAUGACAGUGGGUCUCCUGAACUGCUCUGUGCUACAAUUACAAUCCUAUACAUGUUGGCCCUGACCAGCAAUGGCCUGCUGCUCCUGGCUAUCACCACGGAAGCUCGGCUCCACAUGCCCAUGUACCUCCUGCUUGGGCAGCUCUCUCUCAUGGACCUCCUGUUCACAUCUGUUGUCAGUCCCAAGGCCCUUGCAGACUUUCUGCGCAGAGAAAACACUAUCUCCUUUGGAGGCUGUGCCCUUCAGAUGUUCCUGGCACUGACAAUGGGUGGUGCUGAGGACCUCCUACUGGCCUUCAUGGCCUAUGACAGAAAUGUAAAAUAUUACCUCUGCUGGAAUAUGAACUACAGCCAGGAUUUGAAUAGUACAAAUUAGAUGAGAUGACUUGCAGUGUAGAGCCCUCUAGGCUUUCAGCCUAGAACAGGAAGGAACACAGAGUAAUGACAGCAAACAGUGAAGCUAUAGGAUAAUAAUUCCUCUUCAGUGACAAGAGGCCCCACCACUGCUUUGGACUCCAGGAAGCACUCAGACAUUAACAUCUGUGAAGUGUGCCCUGCAUGCUAAGAAAAAGGUGAACUGACAGACCCUUCUGUCCAUCAAGUCAUCCACAGCCUAGUUAUUUCUGUCUCUGCUGCUAAUUGUGCCGAAAGUAACCAUAAAAUCUGGAGUCAACUGCUAGAAGUUUUGCAAGAACAAAAGCCAAGGAAAUGCACUUGUGUCUUGGUGAGUAGCCAAAGUUAGUUACAGGGAGCUGAAGCAAGGGACUGAAAAAAACGAGAAGUCUUAGAAAAUGUUCUCCAGUCCCUGAGGAUCUGAAGGCCUAUGUGUGACUGAUAUUUGGUGGAGGAGAAUGGACCUAGCUCUUUCCCCAUUCCAAACGACCAAAAUCUUUGUUGAAAGGCAUAUUGUGUAUUGUCACUAAUUCUGGGAAGGCGGGGGCCAUUGGUUUUCAUGAAGUGUGACUAUGAAACACGAAAAUCAGACAAGGCAAUCUUGAUCUGAGGAAUGCUUCUAAGAGAAAAUGAAUAUAUCUGCCCUAUAGGCCCGCUUCUCUACCAAGCACAUGGUGAUGUCCACUCAUUCUUGCUGGCACCAAAUAGUGACAUUCAAAAGAGCUGGCAUAAUUUUUUAGAGUUGCUAAGUAUAUAAAGAACUAACUUUGUCAAUUUUGUUAAUUAUACUUCACUUUAUCUCUGUCUUAUCAAUUAG
This 1732-nucleotide small RNA is filed under the name Pongo abelii (Sumatran orangutan). RNAcentral describes it as "processed transcript". The record is from RNAcentral. Lineage: Eukaryota; Metazoa; Chordata; Mammalia; Primates; Hominidae.